This 301-nucleotide ribosomal RNA is filed under the name uncultured bacterium. Its description in RNAcentral is "partial 16S ribosomal RNA". It matches the Rfam family "Bacterial small subunit ribosomal RNA", at positions 509 to 807 of the family's 1533-position model. The record is from RNAcentral.
CAGCAGCCGCGGUAAAACAGAGGGUGCAAGCGUUAAUCGGAAUUACUGGGCGUAAAGCGCGCGUAGGUGGUUUGUUAAGUUGGAUGUGAAAUCCCCGGGCUCAACCUGGGAACUGCAUCCAAAACUGGCAAGCUAGAGUAUGGUAGAGGGUGGUGGAAUUUCCUGUGUAGCGGUGAAAUGCGUAGAUAUAGGAAGGAACACCAGUGGCGAAGGCGACCACCUGGACUGAUACUGACACUGAGGUGCGAAAGCGUGGGGAGCAAACAGGAUUAGAUACCCCAGUAGUCCCUGUCUCUUAUAC